AGAGUUUGAUCCUGGCUCAGGAUGAACGCUGGCGGCGUGCUUAACACAUGCAAGUCGAACGAACCUUCGGGUUAGUGGCGGACGGGUGAGUAACGCGUGAGAAUCUGCCCUCAGGAGGGGGAUAACGGUUGGAAACGACCGCUAAUACCCCAUAUGCCUACUGGUGAAACGAAUUUCGCCUGAGGAUGAGCUCGCGUCUGAUUAGCUAGUUGGUGAGGUAAUGGCUCACCAAGGCUUCGAUCAGUAGCUGGUCUGAGAGGAUGAUCAGCCACACUGGGACUGAGACACGGCCCAGACUCCUACGGGAGGCAGCAGUGGGGAAUUUUCCGCAAUGGGCGAAAGCCUGACGGAGCAACGCCGCGUGAGGGACGAAGGCCUCUGGGCUGUAAACCUCUUUUCUCAAGGAAGAAGAUAUGACGGUACUUGAGGAAUAAGCCACGGCUAAUUCCGUGCCAGCAGCCGCGGUAAUACGGGAGUGGCAAGCGUUAUCCGGAAUUAUUGGGCGUAAAGCGUCCGCAGGCGGCUUUUCAAGUCUGCUGUUAAAACGUGGAGCUUAACUCCAUCAUGGCAGUGGAAACUGAAAGGCUUGAGUAUGGUAGGGGCAGAGGGAAUUCCCGGUGUAGCGGUGAAAUGCGUAGAUAUCGGGAAGAACACCAGUGGCGAAGGCGCUCUGCUGGGCCAUUACUGACGCUCAUGGACGAAAGCCAGGGGAGCGAAAGGGAUUAGAUACCCCUGUAGUCCUGGCCGUAAACGAUGAACACUAGGUGUCGGGGGAAUCGACCCCUUCGGUGUCGUAGCUAACGCGUUAAGUGUUCCGCCUGGGGAGUACGCACGCAAGUGUGAAACUCAAAGGAAUUGACGGGGGCCCGCACAAGCGGUGGAGUAUGUGGUUUAAUUCGAUGCAACGCGAAGAACCUUACCAGGGUUUGACAUCCUGCGAACCUCUUAGAAAUUUGAGGGUGCCUUCGGGAAUGCAGUGACAGGUGGUGCAUGGCUGUCGUCAGCUCGUGUCGUGAGAUGUUGGGUUAAGUCCCGCAACGAGCGCAACCCACGUUUUUAGUUGCCAGCAUUUAGUUGGGCACUCUAGAAAGACCGCCGGUGAUAAACCGGAGGAAGGUGUGGAUGACGUCAAGUCAUCAUGCCCCUUACACCCUGGGCUACACACGUACUACAAUGCUACGGACAAAGGGCAGCAAACUCGCGAGAGCUAGCAAAUCCCAUAAACCGUGGCUCAGUUCAGAUCGUAGGCUGCAACUCGCCUACGUGAAGUAGGAAUCGCUAGUAAUCGCAGGUCAGCAUACUGCGGUGAAUACGUUCCCGGGCCUUGUACACACCGCCCGUCACACCAUGGAAGUUGGCCAUGCCCGAAGUCGUUACUCCAACCCUUGUGGAGGAGGACGCCGAAGGUGGGGCUAAUGACUGGGGUGAAGUCGUAACAAGGUAGCCGUACCGGAAGGUGCGGCUG
Molecule: ribosomal RNA, 1465 nt
Filed under: Prochlorococcus sp. AG-402-N17
Lineage: Bacteria; Bacillati; Cyanobacteriota; Cyanophyceae; Synechococcales; Prochlorococcaceae
Also listed under: 1 other name
Description: bacterial SSU rRNA
Rfam family: Bacterial small subunit ribosomal RNA
Source: RNAcentral